GAGGGGGGAAAGGCACAGAGCAAUGGCAACAUCUUACCUAGUAAAAACGUAAAGGACCCCUGGAUGGUUAAGUCCAGUCAAAGGCAACAAUGGGGUUGUGGUGCUCAUCUCACUUCAGGCCGAGGGAGCCAGCGUUUGUCCACAGACAGAUUUUCAGGUCAUGUGGGCAGCAUGACUAAACUGCUUCUGGCACAAUGGAACACCGUGACGGAAACCAGAGCGCACGAAAACGCCAUUUACCUUCCUGUUGCAGCGGUACCUAUUUAUCUACUUGCACUGGUGUGCUUUCAAACUGCUGGUUGGCAGGAGCUGGGACCGAGCAACGGGAGCUCACCCUGUCGUGAGGAUUCAAACUGCUGACCUUCUGAUUGGCAAGCCCAAGAGGCUCAGUGGUUUAGACCACAGCGCCACCCGCGUCCUAUCAUGCCUAGUGAGUGACAACAUUUGGGCAUUUUAAGAAGCCCCAUGCACCAGACAAUGGUUGGGGGACCUUUUUGAGCCUGAGAGCUGCAAACCCUUUUGGGCAACUUCCCAAGGACCACAUGCCAGUGAUGGAUGGGGCUAGAGGCAAAAGUGGGUGGAGCAAUGAAUAUGCAUUUUGCUUUCUACAGUAGGCUGCUUUCUACACACACUCACACAUCCCUCUCUAUCCUCCAAUCAAGAGGCAUUGUCAGAGUUUAGGGACACACUCCAGCCAGGCACAAACACUUGUGGGGUGCAAAGGAGGACCAGUAAUGGGUGUAGCCUGUGGGAAGAGGGCCACACAGAGAGGUCUGGAGGCCCAAAUUCAGCCCCAGGCCUGACAUUCCCCACCUCUGCGCUCUGUUUUUCAAUAUUA
Molecule: long non-coding RNA, 838 nt
Filed under: Podarcis lilfordi (Lilford's wall lizard)
Lineage: Eukaryota; Metazoa; Chordata; Lepidosauria; Squamata; Lacertidae
Source: RNAcentral